This 73-nucleotide transfer RNA is filed under the name Apaloderma vittatum (bar-tailed trogon). It matches the Rfam family "tRNA". Rfam says of the family: Transfer RNA (tRNA) molecules are approximately 80 nucleotides in length. Their secondary structure includes four short double-helical elements and three loops (D, anti-codon, and T loops). Further hydrogen bonds mediate the characteristic L-shaped molecular structure. tRNAs have two regions of fundamental functional importance: the anti-codon, which is responsible for specific mRNA codon recognition, and the 3' end, to which the tRNAs corresponding amino acid is attached (by aminoacyl-tRNA synthetases). tRNAs cope with the degeneracy of the genetic code in two manners: having more than one tRNA (with a specific anti-codon) for a particular amino acid; and 'wobble' base-pairing, i.e. permitting non-standard base-pairing at the 3rd anti-codon position. The record is from Rfam by way of RNAcentral. Lineage: Eukaryota; Metazoa; Chordata; Aves; Trogoniformes; Trogonidae.
GGCCGGUUAGCUCAGUCAGUUGACCAUGGUGCUGAUAACACCAAGGUCGUGGGUUCAAUCCCCGUUCAGUCCC